UAAUCCGUAAUGUAAAGGCAGCAUACAGGGAUUUGACUCCUGAGGUAUAGGUUCGAGUCCUAUCGGAUUAA
RNAcentral lists this transfer RNA (71 nucleotides) under Flavivirga amylovorans. RNAcentral describes it as "tRNA-Gln". It matches the Rfam family "tRNA". From Rfam's summary of the family: Transfer RNA (tRNA) molecules are approximately 80 nucleotides in length. Their secondary structure includes four short double-helical elements and three loops (D, anti-codon, and T loops). The record is from RNAcentral. Lineage: Bacteria; Pseudomonadati; Bacteroidota; Flavobacteriia; Flavobacteriales; Flavobacteriaceae.